This 28-nucleotide small RNA is filed under the name Bombyx mori (domestic silkworm). RNAcentral describes it as "ovarian small RNA-33696". Lineage: Eukaryota; Metazoa; Arthropoda; Insecta; Lepidoptera; Bombycidae. The record is from RNAcentral.
UGCCAUAUUCCUUACGUUUUGAGGAAUA